UACGGGGGGAGCAAGCGUUGUCCGGAAUCACUGGGCGUAAAGGGCGCGUAGGCGGCUCGGUAAGUAGGGGGUGAAAUCCUGCGGCUUAACCGCAGGGCUGCCUUCUAAACUGUCGAGCUUGAGCACGGUAGAGGCAGAUGGAAUUCCCGGUGUAGCGGUGGAAUGCGUAGAGAUCGGGAAGAACAUCAGUGGCGAAGGCGGUCUGCUGGGCCGUUGCUGACGCUGAGGCGCGACAGCGUGGGGAGCAAACAGG
This 253-nucleotide ribosomal RNA is filed under the name uncultured bacterium. Its description in RNAcentral is "partial 16S ribosomal RNA". It matches the Rfam family "Bacterial small subunit ribosomal RNA", at positions 524 to 776 of the family's 1533-position model. The record is from RNAcentral.